CCUACGGGAGGCAGCAGUGGGGAAUAUUGGACAAUGGGGGCAACCCUGAUCCAGCGACGCCGCGUGAGUGAAGAAGUAUUUCGGUAUGUAAAGCUCUAUCAGCAGGGAAGAAGAUGACGGUACCUGAUUAAGAAUCCCCGGCUAAAUACGUGCCAGCAGCCGCGGUAAUACGGAGGGGGCGGGCGUCAUCCGGAUUUACUGGGUGUAAUGGGAGCGUAGACGGUGCAGCAAGUCUGAUGUGAAGGGUACGGGCCCAACCCCGGGACUGCAUUGGAAACUGUUGAACUGGAGUACAGGAGAGGUAAGCGGAAUUCCUAGUGUAGCGGUGAAAUGCGUAGAUAUUAGGAGGAACACCAGUGGCGAAGGCGGCUUACUGGACUGUAACUGACGUUGAGGCUCGAAAGCGUGGGGAGCAAACAGGAUUAGAUACCCGAGUAGUC
This 440-nucleotide ribosomal RNA is filed under the name uncultured bacterium. Its description in RNAcentral is "partial 16S ribosomal RNA". It matches the Rfam family "Bacterial small subunit ribosomal RNA", at positions 338 to 795 of the family's 1533-position model. The record is from RNAcentral.